RNAcentral lists this ribosomal RNA (253 nucleotides) under uncultured bacterium. RNAcentral's name for it is "partial 16S ribosomal RNA". It matches the Rfam family "Bacterial small subunit ribosomal RNA", at positions 524 to 776 of the family's 1533-position model. The record is from RNAcentral.
UACGUAGGGUGCAAGCGUUGUCCGGAAUUAUUGGGCGUAAAGAGCUUGUAGGCGGUUUGUCGCGUCUGCUGUGAAAUUUCGGGGCUCAACCCCGAACUUGCAGUGGGUACGGGCAGACUAGAGUGUGGUAGGGGAGGCUGGAAUUCCUGGUGUAGCGGUGAAAUGCGCAGAUAUCAGGAGGAACACCGAUGGCGAAGGCAGGUCUCUGGGCCAUAACUGACGCUGAGAAGCGAAAGCAUGGGGAGCGAACAGG